AUAAUAUGCGGUAUAUUGUGAAAUCCUUCUCCCUCACACACGUUCAUUCUUCACUCUCCAGUCUCGACGAACUCCGAUCUCACUCACCGCUUCCCCUAUCGACGGCCUCACUAAUCCACGACUUCUCAACCACCACGACAUCUUCCUCAAUCGACGGCCUUCUCUUACGUCAAGUCACCUUCGUCACCACUCUCAACCUCUCCGAUGACUCCUCCGACACUUCCCAAACCCUCAUAUCGCCACCAUCACCACCAUCUCAAACCCAGAAACCACCAUCUCAGAACCAAUAAACCACCUACUACCGAACCACCAUCUUCUCACCACAUCUUGACUGAACCCAGACGAAUCCUCCAUUGUUAAACCCUAAAUCCUAAAUUGAAGGAAUAUUGUUUCCAUUGUUGAAGGCUUGAAGGUAAAUAUUUCCCCUCUCUUUAUUUUAUUGUUGUUGAUUCCUUUUACAUUUUGGAUUUUUCUAUUGUAUGAUCUUUAAAUUCCUUGUCAAUUUGGAUUGUAUCAAAUGUAAUAUUUUCUGUGUGAUCAUUUUUAAUUCUUUGUCAGUUUGGAUUGUGUAAAUUGGAUGGAUAGUGAACAAAUAGAUUAUCUUGCGUCUGAUUAAUAUUGUCUGGAAAUAAUUUGGAUUGUGUCUGAUUGUGUAAAUUGGAUGGAUAGUGAACAAAUAAAUUGUGCAAUUCCUUGUCAGUUGCAGUCCCUUUGUAAUGCAAUGCAUAUUCAACUUGACUGUAAUGAAGUUCCUUGUCAAUUGAACUUCAAAAUUUAAGUGUAUGUAAAUUGGUAAGAGUCCAAAAAUUACAUAGCCACGCGAGCGGAUAUUGCGGGAUAAGCUUAUGAUUAGUGUCAUAUUUUGUUUGUCCUAACUUUCUUACUCAAUUGGAAAAUGAAAAAUAAUAGACCAAACUAUAGUUUCAUAUUUUUCAAAUUUACCUAUCAUAGACUAUGUACUAUUAUUCACCAUUGCGUGUGUAUGUAGCAUUUCUGCUACUUAUUGUUACCUUUUUUUUUUACCACAUAGUCUUCUUGUAUUCUUGACACUUGAACUUGUAGAGUUAUUGUUGUAAUUAAUUGGAAAUGCCAUCAUUCUUGUACAUACUCAUUGCACAUAUGGAUUGUGGUCAGUAACUUCCUUUACUCCUCCUCCUAUUUAUUCAUUUUUACUUUUUAAGACCGUUUAGAAUUUUAUCUUCUUCAUUAUUAAUCCCUUGAUGUUCUUCAGGUGGACUAUACUGCCGUGUUUGUUUUCCGGCUCUUGAUGUUUGUCGAUGAUGGGUUUGCUGCAGGAAUGGGUUUGUAAGCCCUUCCAUUCAUUCACUUUUUAUAUAUUUAGCUGGUUUUCUUCAUUAUUACUAUGGUAGAUGAGAUGUGGUGUUUCAUUGUUCUAAUGUGUUUCUUUUAAUCUAUGUAAUUGAAGUUAAGCUAUAUCUAAAUGUACAAACCUGCACUUUAUAACUUUAGCAUGAACAAAAUUUUCUGAGGCCUCUUCUAGCUUAACCAAGGUCGUGGGUUCGAUCCCUAGCUUGGGCUUGCAGCAACAUUAAAACUCUUAGGGAUUUUUUGUGUUGCAUCAUAGAAACCAAGUCAAAAUGUUUUAAUUUCUCAAUUCUCGGUACUAAUUAAUCUGCACGUUGUUUCCCUUCUUAUAUGCUUCUAGAGAUUUUGGGUGGCAGCAGAGAUAUGCUCGUUUCUAUGGAAGAGUAGUUGUCAUUUCAAUCCUUGCAUUGCUUCUUUAUCCAUUUCUUUGGUCCUGGACUAUAGUUGGUACCAUGUGGUUCAGCAGUGCCAAGAGUCGUUUGCCUGAAUAGGGGCAGAAAUGGGGAUUCCUUAUCUGGUUACUUUUUAGCUACUGUGGACUUCUUUGCAUUGCUUGCAUGUCAAUGGGGAUGUGGUUGACUCGACGACAAGCACACUAAGUGCGUGCCCAACAGGGUAUCCCUGUGUCUGAAUAUGGGGGACUUCUUAAAAACGUGAAAGAUGGUUGCUUGGUUUGGCAAUUGGCGGAGGAUUUGCUUAGGUUAAUUAGUUUGUCUUGUUAUAAUUAGUGUCAUGAACAUCAUCUAGUGAGUUAGGAUAAUUAGUUUGUUUUUGUCUUGGACACAAAGUUGUCUUGCUUCUUUGUAUGUUUUGUGAAGGAUGGGAGACUCAUGUAACUUGAUGAUACUUAUUGGCCUUCUUUGUACCUUUUUAUAUCUUUAUCAAUAUAAAUUUUGUCUUUUGUAUUA
Molecule: long non-coding RNA, 2234 nt
Organism: Trifolium pratense (red clover)
Lineage: Eukaryota; Viridiplantae; Streptophyta; Magnoliopsida; Fabales; Fabaceae
Exons: 4
Source: RefSeq, a predicted model, not a curated record